Molecule: transfer RNA, 69 nt
Filed under: Bivetiella cancellata
Lineage: Eukaryota; Metazoa; Mollusca; Gastropoda; Neogastropoda; Cancellariidae
Description: tRNA-Pro
Rfam family: tRNA
About the family: Transfer RNA (tRNA) molecules are approximately 80 nucleotides in length. Their secondary structure includes four short double-helical elements and three loops (D, anti-codon, and T loops).
Source: RNAcentral
GCGAAUUGUAGUUUAAUUAAAUAUUAACUUUGGAAGUUAAAGAUCGGGCUUUAUAUGCUCGCAUUUCAA